RNAcentral lists this ribosomal RNA (253 nucleotides) under uncultured bacterium. Its description in RNAcentral is "partial 16S ribosomal RNA". It matches the Rfam family "Bacterial small subunit ribosomal RNA", at positions 524 to 776 of the family's 1533-position model. The record is from RNAcentral.
UACGAAUGGGGCAAGCGUUGUUCGGAAUCACUGGGCUUAAAGCGUGCGUAGGCGGAUAUGAAAGUCAGAAGUGAAAUCCCAGGGCUUAACCCUGGAAUUGCUUUUGAAACUCCAUAUCUAGAAUCCGGUAGAGGUCAGGAGAAUUCCUAGUGUAGAGGUGAAAUUCGCAGAUAUUAGGAGGAAUACCAGUGGCGUAGGCGCCUGACUGGGCCGGUAUUGACGCUGAGGUACGAAAGCGUGGGGAUCAAACAGG